Molecule: ribosomal RNA, 381 nt
Filed under: uncultured eukaryote
Lineage: Eukaryota
Description: partial 18S ribosomal RNA
Rfam family: Eukaryotic small subunit ribosomal RNA
Source: RNAcentral
CAAUAGCGUAUAUUAAAGUUGUUGCAGUUAAAAAGCUCGUAGUUGGAUUUGUGGCGUACGGUGUGUUCCGGGCACUUGUUGUCUGAGUAACCUGCUGUUGCCAUCCUUGGGUGGAACCUGUGUGGCAUUAGGUUGUCGUGCAGGGGAUGCCCAUCAUUUACUGUGAAAAAAUUAGAGUGUUCAAAGCAGGCUUAUGCCGUUGAAUAUAUUAGCAUGGAAUAAUGAGAUAGGACUUUUUUGCUAUUUUGUUGGUUUGCGCAAGAAGGUAAUGAUUAAUAGGGACAGUUGGGGGUAUUCGUAUUCCAUUGUCAGAGGUGAAAUUCUUGGAUUUUUGGAAGACGAACUACUGCGAAAGCAUUUACCAAGGAUGUUUUCAUUAAG